CCUACGGGAGUCAGCAGUGAGGAAUAUUGGUCAAUGGCCGGAAGGCUGAACCAGCCAAGCCGCGUGAAGGACGAAGGUGCCAAGCAUUGUAAACUUCUUUUGUCAAGGGACAAAAUCAGGCUCGAGAGCCUGACCGAGGGUACUUGAAGAACAAGCAUCGGCUAACUCCGUGCCAGCAGCCGCGGUAAUACGGGGCAUGCGAGCGUUAUCCGGAUUUAUUGGGUUUAAAGGGUGCGUGGGCGGGCUGUUAAGUCAGCGGUAAAAUCCAGGGGCUCAACCCCGGCGAGCCGUUGAAACUGGCUGUCUUGAGAUGUCGAGAGGUAUGCGGAAUGCGCAGUGUAGCGGUGAAAUGCUUAGAUAUUGCGCAGAACUCCGAUUGCGAAGGCAGCAUACCGGCGGCGAUCUGACGCUGAGGCACGAAAGCGUGGGUAUCGAACAGGAUUAGAUACCCCAGUAGUC
Molecule: ribosomal RNA, 459 nt
Filed under: uncultured bacterium
Lineage: Bacteria
Description: partial 16S ribosomal RNA
Rfam family: Bacterial small subunit ribosomal RNA
Source: RNAcentral